This is a long non-coding RNA of Engraulis encrasicolus (European anchovy), 219 nucleotides long. RefSeq lists it as uncharacterized. The transcript is spliced from 3 exons. Lineage: Eukaryota; Metazoa; Chordata; Actinopteri; Clupeiformes; Engraulidae. The record is from RefSeq and is a predicted model, not a curated record.
ACUGUUACUGAGUCUAUUACCAUGUCACCAUUGGCGGCAGCUUCAGAUGCUGAUAAGAAUGUUCCUCGCCAGGAUGAACAAGGUUUUCUUCAAACUGGCUGUGGUAUACCUGAUGCAGUGGGCUUGGUACAGCAGCAUCAGCAGCAGAAAGUGGACACCACGCAGGAAGACUCCAACUACAGCCUGCUGCAGAUGCACUAACACACUUACUACAGCUCC